Molecule: ribosomal RNA, 252 nt
Filed under: uncultured prokaryote
Description: partial 16S ribosomal RNA
Rfam family: Bacterial small subunit ribosomal RNA
Source: RNAcentral
AUACGUAGGAUCCUAGCGUUGUCCGGAUUUACUGGGUGUAAAGGGUGCGCAGGCGGACUUGUAAGUCAGGGGUGAAAUCUCGCCGCUUAACGGCGAAACUGCCUUUGAUACUAUAAGUCUUGAGUUUGGUAGAGAUCCGUGGAAUUCCGAGUGUAGCAGUGAAAUGUGUAGAUAUUCGGAAGAACACCAGCGGCGAAGGCAGCGGAUUGGGCCAUAACUGACGCUCAGGCACGAAAGCAUGGGGAUCAAACA